This 400-nucleotide ribosomal RNA is filed under the name Sphenomorphus maindroni. RNAcentral's name for it is "partial 12S ribosomal RNA". It matches the Rfam family "Bacterial small subunit ribosomal RNA", at positions 795 to 1399 of the family's 1533-position model. Lineage: Eukaryota; Metazoa; Chordata; Lepidosauria; Squamata; Scincidae. The record is from RNAcentral.
CCUAGCCCUAAACACAGAUAGUACAAACACAACACUAUCCGCCAGAGAACUACAAGCGAAAAGCUUAAAACUCCAAGGACUUGGCGGUGCUUCAAACCAACCUAGAGGAGCCUGUCCUAUGAUCGAUACUCCACGUUUUACCUCACCACCCCUUGAUAUUCAGCCUAUAUACCGCCGUCGUCAGCCUACCUUGUGAAAGAAACAAAGUGAGCAAAACAGUUAACAACUAAUACGUCAGGUCAAGGUGUAGCACACGGGGCGGCAGAGAUGGGCUACAUUUUUCCAAAGGAAAAAACACGAACAACAUGUUGAAAUACAUGCUCGAAGGUGGAUUUAGUAGUAAAAUAAAAAAGAAAGCUUGUUUUAAGCCUGCUCUGAAGCGCGCACACACCGCCCGUCA